RNAcentral lists this ribosomal RNA (2351 nucleotides) under Escherichia coli. Its description in RNAcentral is "partial 23S ribosomal RNA". It matches the Rfam family "Bacterial large subunit ribosomal RNA", at positions 612 to 2925 of the family's 2925-position model. Lineage: Bacteria; Pseudomonadati; Pseudomonadota; Gammaproteobacteria; Enterobacterales; Enterobacteriaceae. The record is from RNAcentral.
AUAAUGGGUCAGCGACUUAUAUUCUGUAGCAAGGUUAACCGAAUAGGGGAGCCGAAGGGAAACCGAGUCUUAACUGGGCGUUAAGUUGCAGGGUAUAGACCCGAAACCCGGUGAUCUAGCCAUGGGCAGGUUGAAGGUUGGGUAACACUAACUGGAGGACCGAACCGACUAAUGUUGAAAAAUUAGCGGAUGACUUGUGGCUGGGGGUGAAAGGCCAAUCAAACCGGGAGAUAGCUGGUUCUCCCCGAAAGCUAUUUAGGUAGCGCCUCGUGAAUUCAUCUCCGGGGGUAGAGCACUGUUUCGGCAAGGGGGUCAUCCCGACUUACCAACCCGAUGCAAACUGCGAAUACCGGAGAAUGUUAUCACGGGAGACACACGGCGGGUGCUAACGUCCGUCGUGAAGAGGGAAACAACCCAGACCGCCAGCUAAGGUCCCAAAGUCAUGGUUAAGUGGGAAACGAUGUGGGAAGGCCCAGACAGCCAGGAUGUUGGCUUAGAAGCAGCCAUCAUUUAAAGAAAGCGUAAUAGCUCACUGGUCGAGUCGGCCUGCGCGGAAGAUGUAACGGGGCUAAACCAUGCACCGAAGCUGCGGCAGCGACGCUGAUGCGUUGUUGGGUAGGGGAGCGUUCUGUAAGCCUGUGAAGGUGUGCUGUGAGGCAUGCUGGAGGUAUCAGAAGUGCGAAUGCUGACAUAAGUAACGAUAAAGCGGGUGAAAAGCCCGCUCGCCGGAAGACCAAGGGUUCCUGUCCAACGUUAAUCGGGGCAGGGUGAGUCGACCCCUAAGGCGAGGCCGAAAGGCGUAGUCGAUGGGAAACAGGUUAAUAUUCCUGUACUUGGUGUUACUGCGAAGGGGGGACGGAGAAGGCUAUGUUGGCCGGGCGACGGUUGUCCCGGUUUAAGCGUGUAGGCUGGUUUUCCAGGCAAAUCCGGAAAACUAAGGCUGAGGCGUGAUGACGAGGCACUACGGUGCUGAAGCAACAAAUGCCCUGCUUCCAGGAAAAGCCUCUAAGCAUCAGGUAACAUCAAAUCGUACCCCAAACCGACACAGGUGGUCAGGUAGAGAAUACCAAGGCGCUUGAGAGAACUCGGGUGAAGGAACUAGGCAAAAUGGUGCCGUAACUUCGGGAGAAGGCACGCUGAUAUGUAGGUGAAGUCCCUCGCGGAUGGAGCUGAAAUCAGUCGAAGAUACCAGCUGGCUGCAACUGUUUAUUAAAAACACAGCACUGUGCAAACACGAAAGUGGACGUAUACGGUGUGACGCCUGCCCGGUGCCGGAAGGUUAAUUGAUGGGGUCAGCGCAAGCGAAGCUCUUGAUCGAAGCCCCGGUAAACGGCGGCCGUAACUAUAACGGUCCUAAGGUAGCGAAAUUCCUUGUCGGGUAAGUUCCGACCUGCACGAAUGGCGUAAUGAUGGCCAGGCUGUCUCCACCCGAGACUCAGUGAAAUUGAACUCGCUGUGAAGAUGCAGUGUACCCGCGGCAAGACGGAAAGACCCCGUGAACCUUUACUAUAGCUUGACACUGAACAUUGAGCCUUGAUGUGUAGGAUAGGUGGGAGGCUUUGAAGUGUGGACGCCAGUCUGCAUGGAGCCGACCUUGAAAUACCACCCUUUAAUGUUUGAUGUUCUAACGUUGACCCGUAAUCCGGGUUGCGGACAGUGUCUGGUGGGUAGUUUGACUGGGGCGGUCUCCUCCUAAAGAGUAACGGAGGAGCACGAAGGUUGGCUAAUCCUGGUCGGACAUCAGGAGGUUAGUGCAAUGGCAUAAGCCAGCUUGACUGCGAGCGUGACGGCGCGAGCAGGUGCGAAAGCAGGUCAUAGUGAUCCGGUGGUUCUGAAUGGAAGGGCCAUCGCUCAACGGAUAAAAGGUACUCCGGGGAUAACAGGCUGAUACCGCCCAAGAGUUCAUAUCGACGGCGGUGUUUGGCACCUCGAUGUCGGCUCAUCACAUCCUGGGGCUGAAGUAGGUCCCAAGGGUAUGGCUGUUCGCCAUUUAAAGUGGUACGCGAGCUGGGUUUAGAACGUCGUGAGACAGUUCGGUCCCUAUCUGCCGUGGGCGCUGGAGAACUGAGGGGGGCUGCUCCUAGUACGAGAGGACCGGAGUGGACGCAUCACUGGUGUUCGGGUUGUCAUGCCAAUGGCACUGCCCGGUAGCUAAAUGCGGAAGAGAUAAGUGCUGAAAGCAUCUAAGCACGAAACUUGCCCCGAGAUGAGUUCUCCCUGACUCCUUGAGAGUCCUGAAGGAACGUUGAAGACGACGACGUUGAUAGGCCGGAUGUGUAAGCGCAGCGAUGCGUUGAGCUAACCGGUACUAAUGAACCGUGAGGCUUAACCUUACAACGCCGAAGGUGUUU